GACCCGUCUUGAAACACGGACCAAGGAGUCUAACAUGGGCGCGAGUUAUUGGGUUGUUAAACCUAAAAGCGCAAUGAAAGUAAAGGCCAACUCUGUUGGCUGAUAUAGGAUCCCUGGCUUUGCCGGGGCGCACUAUAGUCCCAUCCCGUCCGCAUCGUCGGUGGGGUGGAGACAGAGCGUGCAUGUUGGGACCCGAAAGAUGGCGAACUAUGCGUGUGCAGGAUGAAGCCAGAGGAAACUCUGGUGGAGGUCCAUAGCGGUUCUGACGUGCAAAUCGAUCGUCGGACAUGCGUAUAGGGGCGAAAGACUAAUCGAGCUAUCUAGUAGCUGGUUUCCUCCGAAGUUUCCCUCAGGAUAGCUGGUGCUCGGAGCAGUUUUAUCCGGUAAAGCGAAUGAUUAGAGGCCUUGGGGACGAAAUGACCUCAACCUAUUCUCAAACUUUAAAUGGGUAAGAAGUCUGGCUUGCCUGACCGAAGCCUAGACAAUUGAAUGCAGAGUGCCAAGUGGGCCAUUUUUGGUAAGCAGAACUGGCGCUGUGGGAUGAACCAAACGUCGAGUUAAGGUGCCUGAUCUUCUCGCUCAUCAGACCCCAGAAAAGGUGUUGGUUGAUAUAGACAGCAGGACGGUGGCCAUGGAAGUCGGAAUCCGCUAAGGAGUGUGU
This 661-nucleotide ribosomal RNA is filed under the name Nematoda environmental sample. Its description in RNAcentral is "LSU rRNA". It matches the Rfam family "Eukaryotic large subunit ribosomal RNA", at positions 646 to 1283 of the family's 3401-position model. Lineage: Eukaryota; Metazoa; Nematoda. The record is from RNAcentral.